ACCGCCCUUAGCCUAUUAAUUCGCGCGGAGCUCAGCCAACCGGGGGCACUACUAGGUGAUGAUCAAAUCUACAAUGUUAUUGUCACUGCCCACGCCUUUGUUAUAAUCUUUUUCAUAGUAAUACCAGUCAUAAUCGGCGGCUUUGGAAACUGACUAGUCCCAUUAAUAAUUGGGGCCCCAGAUAUAGCCUUUCCACGCAUAAACAACAUAAGCUUCUGACUACUCCCACCGUCACUACUCCUCCUACUCGCCUCAUCCGGCGUGGAGGCCGGCGCAGGAACAGGCUGAACAGUAUACCCGCCCCUAGCCGCCAAUAUGGCCCAUGCCGGAGCAUCAGUAGACCUAGUAAUCUUCUCACUUCACCUAGCCGGGAUUUCCUCAAUCUUAGGGGCAAUCAACUUUAUCACCACUUGUAUCAACAUGAAGUCCCCCUCCCUGUCACAAUACCACACCCCCCUUUUUGUUUGAUCAGUAAUAAUUACUGCAGUACUACUACUGCUUUCCCUACCAGUCCUUGCCGCUGGCAUCACAAUGCUUCUAACCGACCGAAAUCUUAAU
This 558-nucleotide ribosomal RNA is filed under the name Ebenavia cf. inunguis. Its description in RNAcentral is "partial 12S ribosomal RNA". The record is from RNAcentral. Lineage: Eukaryota; Metazoa; Chordata; Lepidosauria; Squamata; Gekkonidae.